RNAcentral lists this ribosomal RNA (253 nucleotides) under uncultured bacterium. RNAcentral's name for it is "partial 16S ribosomal RNA". It matches the Rfam family "Bacterial small subunit ribosomal RNA", at positions 524 to 776 of the family's 1533-position model. The record is from RNAcentral.
UACGUAGGGUGCAAGCGUUGUCCGGAAUUAUUGGGCGUAAAGAGCUUGUAGGCGGUUUUUCGCGUCUGCUGUGAAAUUUCGGGGCUCAACCCCGAACUUGCAGUGGGUACGGGCAGACUAGAGUGUGGUAGGGGAGACUGGAAUUCCUGGUGUAGCGGUGAAAUGCGCAGAUAUCAGGAGGAACACCGAUGGCGAAGGCAGGUCUCUGGGCCAUAACUGACGCUGAGAAGCGAAAGCAUGGGGAGCGAACAGG